UACGUAGGGUGCAAGCGUUGUCCGGAAUUAUUGGGCGUAAAGAGUUCGUAGGCGGUCUGUCGCGUCGGCUGUGAAAUCCCGAGGCUCAACCUCGGGUCUGCAGUCGAUACGGGCAGACUAGAGUAUUGCAGGGGAGACUGGAAUUCCUGGUGUAGCGGUGAAAUGCGCAGAUAUCAGGAGGAACACCGGUGGCGAAGGCGGGUCUCUGGGCAAUGACUGACGCUGAGGAGCGAAAGCGUGGGGAGCGAACAGG
This 253-nucleotide ribosomal RNA is filed under the name uncultured bacterium. Its description in RNAcentral is "partial 16S ribosomal RNA". It matches the Rfam family "Bacterial small subunit ribosomal RNA", at positions 524 to 776 of the family's 1533-position model. The record is from RNAcentral.